Molecule: long non-coding RNA, 984 nt
Filed under: Homo sapiens (human)
Lineage: Eukaryota; Metazoa; Chordata; Mammalia; Primates; Hominidae
Description: HSALNT0250352
Source: RNAcentral
UAAAGGACAGUUUUAAUAUUUAGUGCUUCUAAACCAGAAGAGUAGAAGAAAAAAAAGGAAAAUGCUAAUUUGGAAAGUCACAGCCAGAUAUUGGAGUAAAUUAAAAAUUCAGGAUCCAGUCCAGAUUGUAGGAAAGGAGCAGUUUGCCUCUCUCUGUGAUUACCAAACCAGAGUGAAAGCCUUCAACUACGGACCACUGCAAUUUCCACCAUAACAGGCAACCCAGCAAUUAGAACUGUUUGUUACAGUGACAGCAGAGAGAACCAUUUUCAAGCAACAAGGCACAGGAGCAGGAGCUGGAGGAAGAGAGAGCCUGUUCAUUUGAAGGGGACUAACGCCACACAGCAGCUAAUCCUGGAAUGGCAGGCAGUUUUGGGAACUGCCUAUCCUGCAAAGGCUGAGAUAUUCACAGACAUUCUUGAACUUUUGGAAAUGGUCUAAUUCUGCUUUUUUCUGACCAGGAAUACAAUUGGGUCAUAAAAUUUGGCGUUUGGGAAGAGACAAAGGUUUAUCUUUAGUCCAGUGCAUAAUUUAAUUUCUUACUUCAAUAUUAAAAAUGAAAACAUAAAGGUAGGCACUUUCUUUUCAAAUUCUGGAUUUUAGUGAGUAUUUCGGUGCUCAGAAAACAUCUCACAAUUGAAACUUUGCAAACAGAGUCAUGUUUGUUUACAACAAAAGUACUUGAAAUAAAACUACAGCAUGUUAUUCUGUUGCCACUUUGUCAUUUAUUCUCAUUUUCAUAUGUUUUAAAUUAUGUUACAAAUUUAUUGAUAGCUUGGGAGAAAAUGCCAAUUUUGAUAUCUUUUUUCUUUCUUUUUCUUGUUAUUAUUUUUCUUUUCUUCCCCUGCUCCUUUCUUUCUUUUUAAUACACUCUUCUUUUGUUACCAUUGCAUUUAGUCCUUGAUAUAAGCAAUGACAAACUACCUAUCUCCAGUACAUGUCAGGUUAUCUUUGGAUUUUAUUUCUCCCUGUCUCAAAUGAAGC